Molecule: long non-coding RNA, 845 nt
Organism: Amphiprion ocellaris (clown anemonefish)
Lineage: Eukaryota; Metazoa; Chordata; Actinopteri; Pomacentridae
Exons: 3
Source: RefSeq, a predicted model, not a curated record
GAGAGGAGAGGAGGCGUGUGUGUGUGUGUGUGUGUGUGUGUGUGUGUGUGUGUGUUUUGCGUGAGGGUUUAAGUGGAGGGCAGACGAGAGGCUGCUGUGUGUUUGUGUCCUCUGAACGACCUCCUCUGCUGCUACACAUGAACGAGAGGCUCCAGCUCAGCAGGGCUCUGGAGGAAGCCGUGCACGAGAGAGGAAAGCAGCGCAGAGUGAAAGUAGCAGUUCCUCCUUAAGGUCAGAGAUUGCAGCAUCUGAGGGCCUCUUCAAAAGAAGACGUAGUUGAUGAAUGCGUUCUGGAGCAGGACCAGAAAGACCAUGACCAAGCAGCCUUGAGAUCUUAGGCAGCGUCUCCCUCAGGUCCCUCUCUAUCUCCCCACACAUCCACCAACCACUGGAACACAUCUCCAAAGUUCUGCUGGGCCAGCUCAGCUUCCCCUCAGAAGAAGUGCCACCACCUGCCAGAUGAAGGAGCCUUUUGAGAGGCAGCUGGCAUCGUGAUUGGACUGUACUUUGGUCUGUUCCAAUCCAGCUUCAGCUCCAGAGACGGCAGGCGGGACGAGUCAACGGAGGCCGGGUGGACGAAGGCAUGCAGCUGAGUACAAUCCAGAAAACAACAGAGGAGGAGUGCAGGACCAGAACAGAGUAGCAUGGUAUGUCUCUUAGAAAACAUCAUAGUAUAGCCUUUGGUAUGAAAAAACACCAUCAUAUACAUCGUAGAUUGUACAAAUAACAAGUCAAAGGAAAGAGACAUACAUUGUAGAAUUGUAGUAAUUGUGGGCUGACUGAUUUACUGAUUAUCAGUAUUUUAUUUUUUACUGAUUUACAGUAAUAAAUACAUUUAAAAAUGG